AUGGGGCAGCCCUAUAGGGUGAUAUGGGGCUGGCCUAUAGGGCGAUAUGGGGCUGGCCCUAUAGGGCGCUAUGGGGCAGCCCUAGACAGAGAUGGAUCCCUGGCGGAAGUCGGAUUUGCUGAUAAGGGCGUUGAUAAGGACGGGCCGACCCCGCCCGCAUCGAUCCUGAGCGUCACGAAGAACCGCGGCCACUUGUGGGGCAGAGCGACCCACAACUGCAUCCACUUGUGGGGCAGAGCGACCCACAACCGCAUCCACUUGUGGGGCAGAGCGACCCACAACUGCAUCCACUUGUGGGGCAGAGCGACCCACAACCGCGUCCACUUGUGGGGCAGAGGGACCCACAACCGCAUCCACUUGUGGGGCAGAGCGACCCACAACCAAACCGUGAGCACCAGAGCCUCGGCUGCACUGUGGUAAUCUAUGGGGAGAGAGAAUGGGGUCAGAUGACAUAUAGGGUGACUAUAGGGUCGUAAAGGGGCUGAUCCUAUAGGGGACUAUAGGGCCAUAAAGGGGCUGAUCCUAU
Long non-coding RNA from Coturnix japonica (Japanese quail), 526 nucleotides. NCBI's taxonomy places the organism in Eukaryota, Metazoa, Chordata, Aves, Galliformes, Phasianidae. The record is from Ensembl.